AAAAACCCUAAUUGAGGAGUCUCUAGCUGCUUGCUCACACCUGCUUUUACUCUAACCUGGACAACUCACAGUCAAGACCUUCCGUCCGGUAACAAAGCAACAGACCUCAGUCAUGUCAUCUGCUUACAAAGGAGCCACGAAUCAAGACCGAUUCCGUGUGCUCUUGACGAUUCUGUUACACUCCUGCAGGGUAUCGCUCUGCCUCCCAGGCUGGAGUGCAG
This 221-nucleotide long non-coding RNA is filed under the name Homo sapiens (human). RNAcentral describes it as "HSALNT0366067". The record is from RNAcentral. Lineage: Eukaryota; Metazoa; Chordata; Mammalia; Primates; Hominidae.